ACGGAGGGUGCAAGCGUUAUCCGGAUUCACUGGGUUUAAAGGGUGCGUAGGUGGACUAGUAAGUCAGUGGUGAAAGCUCGCAGCUCAACUGUGAAAUUGCCAUUGAAACUAUUAGUCUUGAGUUCGAUUGAUGUGGGCGGAAUAUAGCAUGUAGCGGUGAAAUGCUUAGAUAUGCUAUAGAACACCGAUUGCGAAGGCAGCUCACAAACUCGACACUGACACUGAGGCACGAAAGCGUGGGGAGCGAACAGG
RNAcentral lists this ribosomal RNA (252 nucleotides) under uncultured bacterium. Its description in RNAcentral is "partial 16S ribosomal RNA". It matches the Rfam family "Bacterial small subunit ribosomal RNA", at positions 525 to 776 of the family's 1533-position model. The record is from RNAcentral.